UCAGACGAUGCGUCACGCAUAUCAAUAAGCGGAGGAAAAGAAACUAACAAGGAUUCCCCUAGUAACGGCGAGUGAAGCGGGAAGAGCUCAAAUUUGAAAUCUUAAAGGGUUUCCCUUUACGAAUUGUAGUUUAAAGAAGUGUUUUCUGUUGAGGUUUUGGUAAAAGUUCUUUGGAAUAGGACAUCAUAGAGGGUGAGAAUCCCGUAUUUGACCUUUACUUUCAACUUUGUGAUACACUUUCAAAGAGUCGGAUUGUUUGGGAAUGCAGUCCAAAAUGGGUGGUAAAUUUCAUCUAAAGCUAAAUAUUAGGCGAGAGACCGAUAGCGAACAAGUACCGUGAGGGAAAGAUGAAAAGAACUUUGAAAAGAGAGUUAAACAGUACGUGAAAUUGUCAAAAGGGAAGCGUUUGACACCAGUGUUGUUUUUCUGAAAAUCAAUUAAAGAACUGUUUAUGCUAAGUUGUUUAGACUUUAUCAGCUAACUGUUUAGUUUUGAGCUUUUCUUUAAUGCACUUUUCAGUUAACAAGUCAGCAUCAAUUUCUUUUGCUGUAAAAAAGCUUGAGGAAGGUGGCUUGAGAUUCGUCUUAAGUGUUUAUAGCCUCUUGCCUAUGCAGUCGGAGAGAUUGAGGUCUGCAGCGUAGAUCCUUCGGGGCUAAAUGCAUUUGUGCUAAGUUAUAGCAUUUUAUAGACAACUUGUUGACUAUGAUUUGUCUUGUAGCUUACUCGCUUAUGUUAUUUUACCUACGCUUAGGAUGUUGAGCGCAUGUCUCUCUCU
This 775-nucleotide ribosomal RNA is filed under the name uncultured Neocallimastigales. RNAcentral's name for it is "partial large subunit ribosomal RNA". It matches the Rfam family "Eukaryotic large subunit ribosomal RNA", at positions 18 to 616 of the family's 3401-position model. Lineage: Eukaryota; Fungi; Neocallimastigomycota; Neocallimastigomycetes; Neocallimastigales. The record is from RNAcentral.